GAUGGGCAUGGUGGAGCAUGCCUGUAGCCCUGGCUAUUCUGAGGCUGAGGCUGGAGGAUUUCUUGAGCCCAAGAAUUCUGGGCUGCUGUGUACUAUGCUGGUUGGGUGUCCAUACUAAGUGAGGCAUCAAUAUGGUUACCCCUUGGGAACGGGGGAUCACAGGUUGCCUAAGGAGGGGUGAACCAGUCCAGGUCAGAAAUGGAGCAGGUCAAAACUCCUGUGCUGGUCUGUAAUAAUUGAAAAUGGGUGUUGUGGUGGCAAAUUGUAAGAGUUUAAAAAUUGUGGUUGCUGUUUUUA
This is an unclassified non-coding RNA of Monodelphis domestica (gray short-tailed opossum), 297 nucleotides long. It matches the Rfam family "Metazoan signal recognition particle RNA". Rfam says of the family: The signal recognition particle (SRP) is a universally conserved ribonucleoprotein. The record is from Ensembl. Lineage: Eukaryota; Metazoa; Chordata; Mammalia; Didelphimorphia; Didelphidae.